Cervus elaphus (red deer) is the source of this 1376-nucleotide long non-coding RNA. RefSeq lists it as uncharacterized. The record is from RefSeq and is a predicted model, not a curated record. NCBI's taxonomy places the organism in Eukaryota, Metazoa, Chordata, Mammalia, Artiodactyla, Cervidae. The transcript has 3 exons.
GUUGUCAUGGAACACCAGAUUGAGCUCCCUGCAUCAGACAGCAAAUUCCCACUGGCUAUCUGUUUUACUUAUGGUAAUGUUGGGGUGUCAAUGCUACUCAAGGAGAGGGGAUUUGUGGGGGUUUUUUUUUUUCUCCUGUUUUGUAAUAGGAGCUAUGAAGGUUUCUGAGCAGGAGUGACUGUGCCAGAUAAACCUGGCAACAGGUGUGGGAGGAAAUAAGAUGAGGUAAGGCAAUAGUUAGGAGGCUAUUAAGAUGUUAUUUUAAUGAUUUCUAAGAGGGAGGCAUGGGAAAAUGUGAUGGAGAAGGAGGGUAAAUGGUGGAGUCAGGGUUCAGAGGAGGCAAGAAGGGCCAGGAUCAAGAACUCAGACUUGGUGGUACCCACUGACCACCCUAUUCUAUCAGCUCCUUUCUGUGGAUCAGCGCAAGCAGCCACAUUUGGUUAUGGUCGGUCUUUCCCACUGAGCAAGGGGCAGGAGGAGCUACUGCUGUUGGCUCACACUUGGCAAACCCGCGUGCUCUCUCUCAAGAGGGAGAGUUAGUUUCAGAAGGAAAGAGCGUGGCUUUUCCAGGAGGAGGAGCUAAGGAGAGAGGGUAAAUACUGCCAGCAAUCUCAUGAUGGAAAUGACCAGAUAUUCUCAACUGCCUGUUCCAUGGAGGAACAUGGUUUACGAUCUCAGCUAACUGGGUAGCAAUGAGGUGAGAGGAGUGGGGAAUAAGGAGCAGAGAGAAGAUUUAGACCCACCUGCAGAAUAAUGGAAUAAUGAUGAUUUUUUUUUCUUCUUUUUUGGGCACCGCUAUGAGCUAGACACUCUGGUCACAUGGCUGCCAAUCAGAAAUGUCAGCAAAGCUUCUAGCAACUUGUGACUAAGCUGACCAUGUGGAGUUAUAUCAGAAAUAAACAAGUUCAGCAAUUGUGCUGCACAUGUUGUCCAUGAAUUCAAAGGCUUCCACAGAUCUCCUAUGAACUGUGAUGAAGGACUGGAAAAAGUUCUACUGUUGUAGGAGGUAUAAAUUGUAUCAACUGGGGGAACAAUCGAAAUGCAAACUUCUGGGCCCAUCCAAACAAUCUACAGAGAACCAAGAGCAUAUGGACAUUUUAUGAGCACACAUAAAAAAUUGCCUUCUGAUCUACACCCUCCUGUCCUUCUCCUACCUUCUGAUGAUUAUUUUUCUUUCAGUAUUUUUUACUUCUGUGCAUAGGAGAAAGGAUAAGAGAGUGAGAACUACAACAAGGUAGUUGUAGAUACCUUGGAGAUAACUCCUACCUUAUAUUAUCAUUGUAAAUAUCAAUCAAGACAAUAUAGAUAAAGUGCUAUGCCUGAAGCAAAGUAAGAAUUCCAUUAUUGUUGUCACUACUGUUACUAUUACUACUACU